This 524-nucleotide ribosomal RNA is filed under the name uncultured bacterium. RNAcentral's name for it is "partial 16S ribosomal RNA". It matches the Rfam family "Bacterial small subunit ribosomal RNA", at positions 28 to 523 of the family's 1533-position model. The record is from RNAcentral.
GACGAACGCUGGCGGCGUGCCUAAUACAUGCAAGUCGAACGCUUCUUUCCUCCCGAGUGCUUGCACUCAAUUGGAAAGAGGAGUGGCGGACGGGUGAGUAACACGUGGGUAACCUACCCAUCAGAGGGGGAUAACACUUGGAAACAGGUGCUAAUACCGCAUAACAGUUUAUGCCGCAUGGCAUAAGAGUGAAAGGCGCUUUCGGGUGUCGCUGAUGGAUGGACCCGCGGUGCAUUAGCUAGUUGGUGAGGUAACGGCUCACCAAGGCCACGAUGCAUAGCCGACCUGAGAGGGUGAUCGGCCACCAUGGGACUGAGACACGGCCCAGACUCCUACGGGAGGCAGCAGUAGGGAAUCUUCGGCAAUGGACGGAAGUCUGACCGAGCAACGCCGCGUGAGUGAAGAAGGUUUUCGGAUCGUAAAACUCUGUUGUUAGAGAAGAACAAGGACGUUAGUAACUGAACGUCCCCUGACGGUAUCUAACCAGAAAGCCACGGCUAACUACGUGCCAGCAGCCGCCGUAA